RNAcentral lists this ribosomal RNA (229 nucleotides) under uncultured bacterium. RNAcentral describes it as "partial 16S ribosomal RNA". It matches the Rfam family "Bacterial small subunit ribosomal RNA", at positions 568 to 796 of the family's 1533-position model. The record is from RNAcentral.
UGCGUAGGCGGAAUAAUAAGUCAGUAGUGAAAUCCUGCAGCUCAACUGUAGAACUGUUAUUGAUACUGGUUUUCUUGAAUGUAGUUGAGGUAGGCGGAAUGUGUAAUGUAGCGGUGAAAUGCUUAGAUAUUACACAGAACACCGAUUGCGAAGGCAGCUUACUAAGCUACGAUUGACGCUGAGGUACGAAAGCGUGGGGAGCGAACAGGAUUAGAUACCCUGGUAGUCC